GUCAACUGUCCUCGCUGGUCAAUUAAGAGUCAGCACUGGCUGCGUAUGAGAUAAUUCACCGUUUGACAAGCUUAUGGGAUGAGCAUUAUGGAAAUGGCGACAAAUGAAUGCGAGUCUAUUUGACAGUCAAGCCGGUUAGGUCUUUUCAAAGUUGUUUGUCCGACGACACUUGUUUAUACGCUGCAGUGUCUCGAGGUGAAGGAUGUCACGAGUCUCUCGCGUUUUAAACAGAUGAGCGUCACGUGUGUGUGUGUGUCCUGUAGAGACGCUCACAUCACACACACACACUUUCACUGGUGUGAUAAUGAGUGAUGGAGAGAGGAUACGUCAGUCCCAAGAGGACAAGAGGAAAGGUAGCGAAAACUGCCCACCUCAUAUGGUUCAGUCUUGACCCGGCACCAGUCCAGCAGCAUCUGUUUGACAUCUUUGGUAUUUGGGCCCCC
This is a long non-coding RNA of Labeo rohita (rohu), 443 nucleotides long. RefSeq lists it as uncharacterized. The record is from RefSeq and is a predicted model, not a curated record. NCBI's taxonomy places the organism in Eukaryota, Metazoa, Chordata, Actinopteri, Cypriniformes, Cyprinidae. The transcript is spliced from 3 exons.